UACGUAGGGGGCAAGCGUUAUCCGGAAUUAUUGGGCGUAAAGAGCUCGUAGGCGGUUUGUCGCGUCUGCCGUGAAAGUCCGGGGCUCAACUCCGGAUCUGCGGUGGGUACGGGCAGACUAGAGUGAUGUAGGGGAGACUGGAAUUCCUGGUGUAGCGGUGAAAUGCGCAGAUAUCAGGAGGAACACCGGUGGCGAAGGCGGGUCUCUGGGCCGUAACUGACGCUGAGGAGCGAAAGCAUGGGGAGCGAACAGG
Molecule: ribosomal RNA, 253 nt
Filed under: uncultured bacterium
Lineage: Bacteria
Description: partial 16S ribosomal RNA
Rfam family: Bacterial small subunit ribosomal RNA
Source: RNAcentral